RNAcentral lists this ribosomal RNA (487 nucleotides) under uncultured bacterium. RNAcentral describes it as "bacterial SSU rRNA". It matches the Rfam family "Bacterial small subunit ribosomal RNA", at positions 501 to 987 of the family's 1533-position model. The record is from RNAcentral.
CUACGUGCCAGCAGCCGCGGUAAUACGUAGGGUGCGAGCGUUAAUCGGAAUUACUGGGCGUAAAGCGAGCGCAGACGGUUACUUAAGCAGGAUGUGAAAUCCCCGGGCUCAACCUGGGAACUGCGUUCUGAACUGGGUGACUAGAGUGUGUCAGAGGGAGGUAGAAUUCCACGUGUAGCAGUGAAAUGCGUAGAGAUGUGGAGGAAUACCGAUGGCGAAGGCAGCCUCCUGGGAUAACACUGACGUUCAUGCCCGAAAGCGUGGGUAGCAAACAGGAUUAGAUACCCUGGUAGUCCACGCCCUAAACGAUGUCGAUUAGCUGUUGGGCAGCAUGACUGCUUAGUAGCGAAGCUAACGCGUGAAAUCGACUGCCUGGGGAGUACGGUCGCAAGAUUAAAACUCAAAGGAAUUGACGGGGACCCGCACAAGCGGUGGAUGAUGUGGAUUAAUUCGAUGCAACGCGAAGAACCUUACCUGGUCUUGACAU